This is a long non-coding RNA of Oreochromis niloticus (Nile tilapia), 1216 nucleotides long. RefSeq lists it as uncharacterized. NCBI's taxonomy places the organism in Eukaryota, Metazoa, Chordata, Actinopteri, Cichliformes, Cichlidae. The record is from RefSeq and is a predicted model, not a curated record. The transcript is spliced from 3 exons.
UGUCUGAACAAGUUCUGCUGGUACUCCUUCCUUCUUGGAUCAUGAAGGAGAAUCUUUUGUGUUUUGUCCAGUGUUAACCCCGUCAGCCAGUCUGAGGAUGUUUUGGUCCUUUUACUGUGUUCCUAUUUAAAGCUGAUUGAUUGCUUUGUGUUUCUUCUCCUGUAAUUUCAUCACUGUGAUUGCACUGUUUGUGUCUUUCUAUAACAGUACCAUCAGCACUGAAAAAUGUGAAGUCAAGGACGUUGGUGUCCAGACAGAGGUUUCCUGCCCUCCAAACUCGCUGCUGUUUUUCUGCACGAAAAAGGUGACCUUAGAUGAUGAGCCGCGUUGUCCUGAAGUCAAUGAGAGAGAUGAGCCAGUUUCCAGGCCGUGUACCCCAGCAGGUCACGGUGGUAGCCAGGGAGCCAUGCUAAGAGACCACGUCACACACUGCUGACUAACAUACGAUGAUGAGUUCGUCAAUGAUGAGCAGUGGCAGAGAACAGCUUACCUGCUGUUCUAUGAAAAACAGUGUACACCGAGGGCCGUGGGAGCGUUGCAAUUACAAAUUCUUGUGUAUGACCUGUCCAUAUGUUUUUUUGACAAAAAGAUGACUUUGAAUUUGAGCAUGUCCAUGCAAAUACUCAGUUUAUGUUCAAACAUGAUUUUGUUCUUUUAAUUUGCUCAAUGACAAAGUUAGGAUUUAGUUUAAGGAAUGGCUGAUUGCAGAUUCCUGUUAGAAAACAAGUGUGUUGCAUUUAUGCAGUGGUUACUAUGGUGGCACUUUAGGUGCAAGUGUUGCAACCACUGUAAAUGUGACACCAUCACCAAAAAAUGUUAUAAAAUCAGAAGAAGAAAGAGAACUCUAAUAUGAUAGCUACACACCAGCUGGACCAUUAUAACAACAUCGCAUCACAUGAGUAACUUCACCAUGACGAGACUUCAAGGACUCCAAGAAUGUUCAUACAGUGAGGAUAAAUCAUGUUUUUUAUUAUUUAUUAUGAAAAAGACACAAUAUAGAUACAUAAAAUGCAGCAGGAGCUGCAACAGCUAACAUGUCAGUUAAUUUGACACGUUGAUUUAUUUAUAAUUUCUUUUUCUCUCUUAGCUUUUCAGCUCCACAUUUUUGCCAUUUCUUCCACACUCAACUCUUUUCUACAAGGUGAGCGCACAGUGAAGGAAGGGGAGGGCUGAUGGCAUUAAGAGAUUUGAUUGGGCAAUCUAGGGGCCAGUUAGU